CACGUAGGGGACGAGCGUUGUCCGGAUUCAUUGGGCGUAAAGCGCGCGUAGGCGGCUCGGAAAGUCGGGCGUGAAAUGCCGGGGCUCAACCCCGGGACUGCGUCCGAAACUUCCAAGCUUGAGUUCUGGAGAGGAAGGCGGAAUUCUCGGUGUAGAGGUGAAAUUCGUAGAUAUCGAGAGGAACACCGGUGGCGAAGGCGGCCUUCUGGACAGUGACUGACGCUGAGACGCGAAAGCGUGGGGAGCAAACAGG
RNAcentral lists this ribosomal RNA (253 nucleotides) under uncultured bacterium. RNAcentral's name for it is "partial 16S ribosomal RNA". It matches the Rfam family "Bacterial small subunit ribosomal RNA", at positions 524 to 776 of the family's 1533-position model. The record is from RNAcentral.